This 1096-nucleotide ribosomal RNA is filed under the name fungal endophyte. RNAcentral describes it as "eukaryotic LSU rRNA". The stretch from base 521 to 1096 matches the Rfam family "Eukaryotic large subunit ribosomal RNA", at positions 1 to 608 of the family's 3401-position model. The record is from RNAcentral. Lineage: Eukaryota; Fungi.
GACAGCGGAGGGAUCAUUAACGAGUUGAUUCAACUCCCAAACCCAUGUGAACUUACCUAUGUUGCCUCGGCAGGUCAGGUCCUGCCCGGAGCGCCCCCUACAGGGCCCUGUAGGGGGCGUGACUGGUGGCCGCCUACCCUGCCGGUGGCCCAUUCAACUCUAUUGACUAUGUGGCAUUCUGAAUCGUAUACAAAUACGUUAAAACUUUCAACAACGGAUCUCUUGGUUCUGGCAUCGAUGAAGAACGCAGCGAAAUGCGAUAAGUAAUGUGAAUUGCAGAAUUCAGUGAAUCAUCGAAUCUUUGAACGCACAUUGCGCCCAUUAGUAUUCUAGUGGGCAUGCCUGUUCGAGCGUCAUUUCAACCCCUUAAGCCCUGUUGCUUAGCGUUGGGGGCUACGGCUUGCCGUAGUUCCUUAAAGUGAGUGGCGGAGUUAGUGUAUCUCUAGACGUAGUAAUUCUUUAUCUCGCCUACGGAUGCGCUGGCGCCCUGCCGUAAAACCCCCCUAAUGAUUUACAAGGUUGACCUCGGAUCAGGUAGGAAUACCCGCUGAACUUAAGCAUAUCAAUAAGCGGAGGAAAAGAAACCAACAGGGAUUGCCCUAGUAACGGCGAGUGAAGCGGCAACAGCUCAAAUUUGAAAUCUGGCCUUCGGGUCCGAGUUGUAAUUUGUAGAGGAUGCUUUUGGCGCGGUGCCUUCCGAGUUCCCUGGAACGGGACGCCUUAGAGGGUGAGAGCCCCGUACGGUUGGACACCAAGCCUCUGUAAAGCUCCUUCGACGAGUCGAGUAGUUUGGGAAUGCUGCUCUAAAUGGGAGGUAAAUUUCUUCUAAAGCUAAAUAUUGGCCAGAGACCGAUAGCGCACAAGUAGAGUGAUCGAAAGAUGAAAAGCACUUUGAAAAGAGGGUUAAAUAGCACGUGAAAUUGUUGAAAGGGAAGCGUUUGCGACCAGACCUUUUCCCGGUGGAUUCGUCCGCCGGGUUGAGGCCAGCAUCGGUUUCUGCAGGGGGAUAAAAAUAGGGGGAACGUAGCUCCCUCGGGAGUGUUAUAGCCCCCUAUAUAAUACCCUUGCGGUGACCGAGGACCGCGCUCGGCAAGGA